Molecule: ribosomal RNA, 103 nt
Filed under: Salvator merianae (Argentine black and white tegu)
Lineage: Eukaryota; Metazoa; Chordata; Lepidosauria; Squamata; Teiidae
Source: RNAcentral
UUGAACUCCUUAGAAAAAAGGCAGAAUCUGAUCUUGGUAGCUAAGCAGAGUCAGGUCUGGUUAGUACUUGGAUGGGAGACUGCCUGGAAAUACCGGAUGCAAU